This 595-nucleotide long non-coding RNA is filed under the name Pongo abelii (Sumatran orangutan). RNAcentral describes it as "lincRNA". The record is from RNAcentral. Lineage: Eukaryota; Metazoa; Chordata; Mammalia; Primates; Hominidae.
AAAUGAACAUAGAGGAGAGGAGAUCCACGGGUGGCAGAAAGCUUAUCAGAAUUGGAUGAAAAGCCCAGACCCACAAGAAUCAGCUAAGCAGGUGUGUCAGUCCUGGUUACUGGAAUAUUGAAUUGUGACUGACUGAUUUUGCUGUGAAGAUUCUAUGAAGAGAAUACCAAUUGAAUGACUGCAUUGUUCUUCUAUGGUAGUCUGAAAGGGACAGAAUGAGAGAGGGAGCUGGAGAAAGAAAUGAAUAAACACGAAUGCAUCUGGAGAAUGAGGCAUCUUGGAAUCUGGAAAGUGAGGCAUCCUGGAAGAGAGAUGAAGGUUCAAGCUCCAAGAUGUCCAGAAGCAAACGCAAAGAGGAAGUAAUGAAAUGGAUAUAUGCAAAACUUGUCAAGAUUCUCAUUUGGCUACAGCAAAUAUUUGGGGAGUUGGAAGUUUAGUUGUGUUAAUGAUAUGCUACACCUUCUAUACCUGUAAUGUGCCAAAAAUAACUGAACGCUUUACAUUUCUCUUUAAAUCCAGUAAUAAUCCAUUAAAGAGAUAAAGGUGCCAAUGUGCAGGCAAGUAAACCACAUUGCCAAGUAUACAAGCUAAUACA